RNAcentral lists this ribosomal RNA (253 nucleotides) under uncultured bacterium. Its description in RNAcentral is "partial 16S ribosomal RNA". It matches the Rfam family "Bacterial small subunit ribosomal RNA", at positions 524 to 776 of the family's 1533-position model. The record is from RNAcentral.
UACGGAGGGUGCAAGCGUUAUCCGGAAUUACUGGGUUUAAAGGGUGCGUAGGCGGACGCAUAAGUCAGAGGUGAAAUACUUGAGCUUAACUGAAGGCUUGCCUUUGAUACUGUGCGUCUUGAAUUAUGUUGAGGUUAGCGGAAUGUGACAUGUAGCGGUGAAAUGCAUAGAUAUGUCAUAGAACACCAAUUGCGAAGGCAGCUAACUAGGCAUAUAUUGACGCUGAGGCACGAAAGCGUGGGGAGCGAACAGG